UAAGCAUAUCAAUAAGCGGAGGAAAAGAAACCAACAGGGAUUGCCCUAGUAACGGCGAGUGAAGCGGCAACAGCUCAAAUUUGAAAUCUGGCUCUCGGGCCCGAGUUGUAAUUUGUAGAGGAUGACUUUGAUGCGGUGCCUUCCGAGUUCCCUGGAACGGGACGCCAUAGAGGGUGAGAGCCCCGUCUGGUUGGAUGCCAAAUCUCUGUAAGUCUCCUUCGACGAGUCGAGUAGUUUGGGAAUGCUGCUCUAAAUGGGAGGUAUAUGUCUUCUAAAGCUAAAUACCGGCCAGAGACCGAUAGCGCACAAGUAGAGUGAUCGAAAGAUGAAAAGCACUUUGAAAAGAGAGUUAAAAAGUACGUGAAAUUGUUGAAAGGGAAGCGUUUAUGACCAGACUUGGGCUUGGUUAAUCAUCUGGGGUUCUCCCCAGUGCACUUUUCCAGUCCAGGCCAGCAUCAGUUUUCGCCGGGGGACAAAGACUUCGGGAAUGUGGCUCCCCUCGGGGAGUGUUAUAGCCCGUUGUGUAAUGCCCUGGCGGGGACUGAGGUUCGCGCUUCUGCAAGGAUGCUGGCGUAAUGGUCAUCAACGACCCGUCUUGAAACACGGACCAAGGAGUCGUCUUCGUAUGCGAGUGUUCGGGUGUAAAACCCCUACGCGUAAUUAAAGUGAACGCAGGUGAGAGCUUCGGCGCAUCAUCGACCGAUCCUGAUGUUCUCGGAUGGAUUUGAGUAAGAGCAUACGGGGCCGGACCCGAAAGAAGGUGAACUAUGCCUGUGUAGGGUGAAGCCAGAGGAAACUCUGGUGGAGGCUCGCAGCGGUUCUGACGUGCAAAUCGAUCGUCAAACAUGGGCAUGGGGGCGAAAGACUAAUCGAACCUUCUAGUAGCUGGUUUCCGCCGA
RNAcentral lists this ribosomal RNA (899 nucleotides) under [Gibberella] ulicis. Its description in RNAcentral is "LSU rRNA". It matches the Rfam family "Eukaryotic large subunit ribosomal RNA", at positions 35 to 964 of the family's 3401-position model. Lineage: Eukaryota; Fungi; Ascomycota; Sordariomycetes; Hypocreales; Nectriaceae. The record is from RNAcentral.